Long non-coding RNA from Bos taurus (domestic cattle), 813 nucleotides. The record is from Ensembl. NCBI's taxonomy places the organism in Eukaryota, Metazoa, Chordata, Mammalia, Artiodactyla, Bovidae.
AUCUUGGAUUAUCUGGCUGGACUGGAGGCAGGAGGGUCAGAGUCAGAGAUUGAGAGAUGAUGAUGGAAGCAGAGGUCAGAGAGAAGGAUGAUAAGAAUCUGCACUGCCGGCUUUUAAGAUGGAGCCAAGGAAUGCAGGCGACCUCUGGAAGCUGGAAGAGGCCAGGAAAGAUUCUUCCUCAGAGCCCUCAGAGAGAACAGAGCCCUCCCAAUGCCUUGAUUUUUAGAUUUCUGAUAUCCAGAACUGUAAGAUAAUAAAUUUGUGUUGUUUUAAGCCACCAACUCUGUAGUAACUUGAUACAACAGCAAUAGUAAAUGAAUACAUUCCAUAAUAAAGAUGAUAGCUGGUCCCCUGCCACAUUCUCUUUCAUUUAAAGAAUGCAAUUGAUUAGGUUCUUUCAGAGAUGACUGCAAUGUGACUGUGACAUAAUGGAGGGAACCUUCACAUCCAGAGGGAAAUAAACAUCCAAUCAACAGUCAAAUUACACAGAUUUGUGAGUGAGGAGACAAGUUGAGUUAAAAUAGAUUUAGAGGACGUUAAUUUAUAAUUUGGUAAUAUGAGUACGGGGUGUGGAUGAGAUCAAUCAAAACACAGAAGAAACGAUAAAGAGGACCAAGGACAGAUCCCCGGGAAGCACUAAGGCUGUGGCAGAUGAACGGAAGCGCACAAAGUCUGAAGAAGAAUGGCCAGAGAGAGAAAAGAACUAGUGAGAAUCAGUAUGUUAUGUUUCAGCUUAUGGCCAGAAACUAUGGAUAUGGAUAUGAUACGGUUACUCAAGAAACUCACAGUUUUGGAAGGAAGAUAAACAUAAAA